UACGAAGGGGGCUAGCGUUGCUCGGAAUCACUGGGCGUAAAGCGCACGUAGGCUGAUUGCUAAGUCAGGGGUGAAAUCCUGGAGCUCAACUCCAGAACUGCCUUUGAUACUGAAGAUCUUGAGUUCGGGAGAGGUGAGUGGAACUGCGAGUGUAGAGGUGAAAUUCGUAGAUAUUCGCAAGAACACCAGUGGCGAAGGCGGCUCACUGGCCCGAUACUGACGCUGAGGCACGAAAGCGUGGGGAGCAAACAGG
Molecule: ribosomal RNA, 253 nt
Filed under: uncultured bacterium
Lineage: Bacteria
Description: partial 16S ribosomal RNA
Rfam family: Bacterial small subunit ribosomal RNA
Source: RNAcentral